GACGAACGCUGGCGGCGUGCUUAACACAUGCAAGUCGAACGGAAAGGCCCUGCUUUUGUGGGGUGCUCGAGUGGCGAACGGGUGAGUAACACGUGAGUAACCUGCCCUUGACUUUGGGAUAACUUCAGGAAACUGGGGCUAAUACCGGAUAGGAGCUCCUGCUGCAUGGUGGGGGUGGGAAAGUUUCGGCGGUUGGGGAUGGACUCGCGGCUUAUCAGCUUGUUGGUGGGGUAGUGGCUUACCAAGGCAUUGACGGGUAGCCGGCCUGAGAGGGUGACCGGCGACAAUGGGACUGCGAUACGGCCCAGACGCCUACAGGGGGCAGCAGUGGGGAGUAUUGUACAAUGGGCGGGAGCCUGAUGAAGAAGCGCCGCGGGCGGGAUGACGGCCUGCGGGUUGUAAACCGCUUUCGCCUGUGACGAAGCGUGAGUGACGGUAAUGGGUAAAGAAGCACCGGCUAACUACGUG
RNAcentral lists this ribosomal RNA (468 nucleotides) under uncultured bacterium. Its description in RNAcentral is "partial 16S ribosomal RNA". It matches the Rfam family "Bacterial small subunit ribosomal RNA", at positions 28 to 507 of the family's 1533-position model. The record is from RNAcentral.